AGUGAACGCUGGCGGUAGGCCUAACACAUGCAAGUCGAACGGCAGCACAGUAAGAGCUUGCUCUUACGGGUGGCGAGUGGCGGACGGGUGAGGAAUACAUCGGAAUCUACUUUUUCGUGGGGGAUAACGUAGGGAAACUUACGCUAAUACCGCAUACGACCUACGGGUGAAAGCAGGGGAUCUUCGGACCUUGCGCGAUUGAAUGAGCCGAUGUCGGAUUAGCUAGUUGGCGGGGUAAAGGCCCACCAAGGCGACGAUCCGUAGCUGGUCUGAGAGGAUGACCAGCCCCCUUGAACUUGGACCCCGUCCCAGCUUCCUCGGGGAGGCACCGUUGGGGAUUUUUGGCCAUUGGGCGCAGCCCUGUCCCAGCAUACCGCGUGGGUGAAGAAGGCCUUCGGGUUGUAAAGCCCUUUUGUUGGGAAAGAAAAGCAGCAGGUUAAUACCCCGCUGUUCUGACGGUACCCAAAGAAUAAGCACCGGCUAACUUCGUG
This 491-nucleotide ribosomal RNA is filed under the name uncultured bacterium. Its description in RNAcentral is "partial 16S ribosomal RNA". It matches the Rfam family "Bacterial small subunit ribosomal RNA", at positions 29 to 507 of the family's 1533-position model. The record is from RNAcentral.